This 292-nucleotide ribosomal RNA is filed under the name uncultured bacterium. Its description in RNAcentral is "partial 16S ribosomal RNA". It matches the Rfam family "Bacterial small subunit ribosomal RNA", at positions 505 to 796 of the family's 1533-position model. The record is from RNAcentral.
GUGCCAGCAGCCGCGGUAAUACGGAGGGGGCUAGCGUUGUUCGGAAAUACUGGGCGUAAAGCGCACGUAGGCGGCUCAGCAAGUCAGAGGUGAAAUCCCAGGGCUCAACCCUGGAACUGCCUUUGAAACUGCUAGGCUAGAAUCAUGGAGAGGUCAGUGGAAUUCCGAGUGUAGAGGUGAAAUUCGUAGAUAUUCGGAAGAACACCAGUGGCGAAGGCGACUGACUGGACAUGUAUUGACGCUGAGGUGCGAAAGCGUGGGGAGCAAACAGGAUUAGAAACCCCAGUAGUCC